Non-coding RNA from Brugia malayi, 85 nucleotides. NCBI's taxonomy places the organism in Eukaryota, Metazoa, Nematoda, Chromadorea, Rhabditida, Onchocercidae. The record is from RefSeq and is a predicted model, not a curated record.
ACAAGUUUGUGUCAGUCGGAGGUAGGGUCUUAGGCAUUGCUAAUGCGACGUUGCCAGAUCUGUCCUUCGGCUAACAUUGGCUUAU